GUGAGGAAUAUUGGACAAUGGGCGCAAGCCUGAUCCAGCCAUGCCGCGUGCAGGAAGACGCAUCUAUGGUGUGUAAACUGCUUUUGUACGGGAAGAAACACUCCCUCGUGAGGGAGCUUGACGGUACCGUAAGAAUAAGGAUCGGCUAACUCCGUGCCAGCAGCCGCGGUAAUACGGAGGAUCCAAGCGUUAUCCGGAAUCAUUGGGUUUAAAGGGUCCGUAGGCGGUUUAAUAAGUCAGUGGUGAAAGCCCAUCGCUCAACGAUGGAACGGCCAUUGAUACUGUUAGACUCGAAUUACAAGGAAGUAACUAGAAUAUGUAGUGUAGCGGUGAAAUGCUUAGAUAUUACAUGGAAUACCAAUUGCGAAGGCAGGUUACUACUUGUGGAUUGACGCUGAUGGACGAAAGCGUGGGGAGCGAACAGGAUUAGAAACCCCGGUAGUCC
This 445-nucleotide ribosomal RNA is filed under the name uncultured bacterium. RNAcentral describes it as "partial 16S ribosomal RNA". It matches the Rfam family "Bacterial small subunit ribosomal RNA", at positions 354 to 796 of the family's 1533-position model. The record is from RNAcentral.